This 2411-nucleotide ribosomal RNA is filed under the name Salmonella enterica subsp. enterica serovar Schwarzengrund. RNAcentral describes it as "partial 23S ribosomal RNA". It matches the Rfam family "Bacterial large subunit ribosomal RNA", at positions 517 to 2906 of the family's 2925-position model. Lineage: Bacteria; Pseudomonadati; Pseudomonadota; Gammaproteobacteria; Enterobacterales; Enterobacteriaceae. The record is from RNAcentral.
AAAAGAACCCCGGCGAGGGGAGUGAAAAAGAACCUGAAACCGUGUACGUACAAGCAGUGGGAGCACCCUUUGGGGUGUGACUGCGUACCUUUUGUAUAAUGGGUCAGCGACUUAUAUUCUGUAGCAAGGUUAACCGAAUAGGGGAGCCGGAGGGAAACCGAGUCUUAAUUGGGCGUUAAGUUGCAGGGUAUAGACCCGAAACCCGGUGAUCUAGCCAUGGGCAGGUUGAAGGUUGGGUAACACUAACUGGAGGACCGAACCGACUAAUGUUGAAAAAUUAGCGGAUGACCUGUGGCUGGGGGUGAAAGGCCAAUCAAACCGGGAGAUAGCUGGUUCUCCCCGAAAGCUAUUUAGGUAGCGCCUCGUGAAUUCAUCUCCGGGGGUAGAGCACUGUUUCGGCUAGGGGGCCAUCCCGGCUUACCAACCCGAUGCAAACUGCGAAUACCGGAGAAUGUUAUCACGGGAGACACACGGCGGGUGCUAACGUCCGUCGUGAAGAGGGAAACAACCCAGACCGCCAGCUAAGGUCCCAAAGUCAUGGUUAAGUGGGAAACGAUGUGGGAAGGCCCAGACAGCCAGGAUGUUGGCUUAGAAGCAGCCAUCAUUUAAAGAAAGCGUAAUAGCUCACUGGUCGAGUCGGCCUGCGCGGAAGAUGUAACGGGGCUAAACCAUGCACCGAAGCUGCGGCAGCGACGCUGAUGCGUUGUUGGGUAGGGGAGCGUUCUGUAAGCCUGCGAAGGUGGCCUGUGAGGGUUGCUGGAGGUAUCAGAAGUGCGAAUGCUGACAUAAGUAACGAUAAAGCGGGUGAAAAGCCCGCUCGCCGGAAGACCAAGGGUUCCUGUCCAACGUUAAUCGGGGCAGGGUGAGUCGACCCCUAAGGCGAGGCCGAAAGGCGUAGUCGAUGGGAAACGGGUUAAUAUUCCCGUACUUGGUGUUACUGCGAAGGGGGGACGGAGAAGGCUAUGUUGGCCGGGCGACGGUUGUCCCGGUUUAAGCGUGUAGGUGUGUGUUCCAGGUAAAUCCGGUUCACUUUAACACUGAGGCGUGAUGACGAGGCACUACGGUGCUGAAGCAACAAAUGCCCUGCUUCCAGGAAAAGCCUCUAAGCAUCAGGUAACAUCAAAUCGUACCCCAAACCGACACAGGUGGUCAGGUAGAGAAUACCAAGGCGCUUGAGAGAACUCGGGUGAAGGAACUAGGCAAAAUGGUGCCGUAACUUCGGGAGAAGGCACGCUGACACGUAGGUGAAGUGAUUUACUCAUGGAGCUGAAGUCAGUCGAAGAUACCAGCUGGCUGCAACUGUUUAUUAAAAACACAGCACUGUGCAAACACGAAAGUGGACGUAUACGGUGUGACGCCUGCCCGGUGCCGGAAGGUUAAUUGAUGGGGUCAGCGCAAGCGAAGCUCCUGAUCGAAGCCCCGGUAAACGGCGGCCGUAACUAUAACGGUCCUAAGGUAGCGAAAUUCCUUGUCGGGUAAGUUCCGACCUGCACGAAUGGCGUAAUGAUGGCCAGGCUGUCUCCACCCGAGACUCAGUGAAAUUGAACUCGCUGUGAAGAUGCAGUGUACCCGCGGCAAGACGGAAAGACCCCGUGAACCUUUACUAUAGCUUGACACUGAACAUUGAGCCUUGAUGUGUAGGAUAGGUGGGAGGCUUUGAAGUGUGGACGCCAGUCUGCAUGGAGCCGGCCUUGAAAUACCACCCUUUAAUGUUUGAUGUUCUAACGUGGACCCGUGAUCCGGGUUGCGGACAGUGUCUGGUGGGUAGUUUGACUGGGGCGGUCUCCUCCUAAAGAGUAACGGAGGAGCACGAAGGUUGGCUAAUCCUGGUCGGACAUCAGGAGGUUAGUGCAAUGGCAUAAGCCAGCUUGACUGCGAGCGUGACGGCGCGAGCAGGUGCGAAAGCAGGUCAUAGUGAUCCGGUGGUUCUGAAUGGAAGGGCCAUCGCUCAACGGAUAAAAGGUACUCCGGGGAUAACAGGCUGAUACCGCCCAAGAGUUCAUAUCGACGGCGGUGUUUGGCACCUCGAUGUCGGCUCAUCACAUCCUGGGGCUGAAGUAGGUCCCAAGGGUAUGGCUGUUCGCCAUUUAAAGUGGUACGCGAGCUGGGUUUAGAACGUCGUGAGACAGUUCGGUCCCUAUCUGCCGUGGGCGCUGGAGAACUGAGGGGGGCUGCUCCUAGUACGAGAGGACCGGAGUGGACGCAUCACUGGUGUUCGGGUUGUCAUGCCAAUGGCACUGCCCGGUAGCUAAAUGCGGAAGAGAUAAGUGCUGAAAGCAUCUAAGCACGAAACUUGCCCCGAGAUGAGUUCUCCCUGAGACUUAGAGUCUCCUGAAGGAACGUUGAAGACGACGACGUUGAUAGGCCGGGUGUGUAAGCGCAGCGAUGCGUUGAGCUAACCGGUACUAAUG